AGUCGAACGUGAAAGUACUUCGGUAUGAGUAAAGUGGCGCACGGGUGAGUAACACGUAGGUGACCUGCCUUUUAAUGGGGAAUAACCAGAUGAAAAUUUGGCUAAUGCCGCAUACGAAGUACAAAUCUUAAAGUAGUACUUGAAAGAAUGCCUCUGUAUAUGCAUUCGUUAAAAGAUGGGCCUGCGGAACAUUAGCUAGUUGGUGGGGUAAAGGCCUACCAAGGCAACGAUGUUUAUCCGGUCUGAGAGGAUGAUCGGACACACUGGAACUGAGACACGGUCCAGACUCCUACGGGAGGCAGCAGUGGGGAAUAUUGCGCAAUGGGGGAGACCCUGACGCAGCAACGCCGCGUGAGUGAGGAAGGACUUCGGUCUGUAAAGCUCUGUUAAUGUGGAAAAAUGGUAGCUGGUCUAAUAGGCCGGCUAUUUGAUGGUACACAUAGAGGAAGCACCGGCUAACUUCGUGCCAGCAGCCGCGGUAAUACGAAGGGUGCAAGCGUUGUUCGGAUUUAUUGGGCGUAAAGCGCGCGUAGGCGGACCUGCAAGUCAGAUGUGAAAUCUCGGGGCUCAACCUCGAAACUGCGUCUGAAACUACAGGUCUAGAAUCUCGGAGGGGGAAGGGGAAUAUCGCAUGUAGGGGUAAAAUCCGUAGAUAUGCGAUGGAACACCAGAGGCGAAGGCGCCUUCCUGGACGAGUAUUGACGCUGAGGCGCGAAAGCGUGGGGAUCAAACAGGAUUAGAUACCCUGGUAGUCCACGCUGUAAACGAUGAACACUAGAUAUU
Molecule: ribosomal RNA, 783 nt
Filed under: uncultured bacterium
Lineage: Bacteria
Description: bacterial SSU rRNA
Rfam family: Bacterial small subunit ribosomal RNA
Source: RNAcentral